UUGGAGGGCAAGUCUGGUGCCAGCAGCCGCGGUAAUUCCAGCUCCAAUAGCGUAUAUUAAAGUUGUUGCAGUUAAAAAGCUCGUAGUUGAAUUUCGGGGUCAGUAGGUCGGUCGUGCCACUGGCAUGAACUGGUUUUACUGAUUCCUCCCUCUUGAAGAACUGUAAUGCCAUUAAUUUGGUGUUGCAGGGAAUCAGGACUGUUACUUUGAAAAAAUUAGAGUGUUUAAAGCAGGCUUUAGCUUGAAUACAUUAGCAUGGAAUAAUGAAAUAGGACGUUUGAUCCUAUUUUGUUGGUUUCUAGGAUUGACGUAAUGAUUAAUAGGGAUAGUUGGGGGCAUUAGUAUUCAAUUGUCAGAGGUGAAAUUCUUGGAUUUAUUGAAGACUAACUACUGCGAAAGCAUUUGCCAAGGAUGUUUUCAUUAAUCAAUAACGAAAGUUAGGGGAUCGAAGACGAUCAGAUACCGUCGUAGUCUUAACCAUAAACUAUGCCGACUAGGGAUCGGAUGAUGUUAAUUUUUUAAUGACUCAUUCGGCGCCUUACGGGAAAC
This 549-nucleotide ribosomal RNA is filed under the name uncultured Rhizophagus. RNAcentral describes it as "SSU rRNA". It matches the Rfam family "Eukaryotic small subunit ribosomal RNA", at positions 548 to 1098 of the family's 1831-position model. Lineage: Eukaryota; Fungi; Glomeromycota; Glomeromycetes; Glomerales; Glomeraceae. The record is from RNAcentral.